CGGAUAUCCACAUUACAGUUGCCUUAGAAAGUCUGUGUCCAUGGUGAUGAGUCACUUCCUGGUCAUUUACAGCACAAGAAAAAGAAAAAGGUUAAAUAAUUAUGGCAAAACUUCAACACUAAGAAAGCAGAAUUACAUAAAGACAAACAGGCCAAUGUAGGAGUCAAAAAGUCUUGAACAGUGAGAGCAGCCCAAGAAUAAGACGUCCCAUGAAUCAUUUUCUUUCUCGCUAUAAACAGACAAAAGAAAGGUUAGGUGAAGGUCCCUUGAAGCUUUUUCUCAGUUAAAACUUCUCCCAUCCCAUAGAAACGUGAGUAACUUGGAAACGUGCGGCACGCCCAUUUUAAUUGGUUCUAGAAACUCACUAAUCAACCAUCACUUGAAUCCAAGCUGUACGAAUUCAAACAGAAGCAGCCACCACCCUUCUAUAAUAAUAAAUUCCCAAUUAACUUUUUCUUUACACCAACCAGCCCUUUUAAAAAGAAUUUGCCUGAUAAGUGCUAAUCUUAUCUGGGUUUAUCUAUAGAAACCUUUUUUUUUCAGUGGUCUGUGUUGAAUCAUGGGUUUUUCUAAGCCUUCUCUACUUCUGAUCCUGUUAAUUAUCAUUGUUUCGGUGUACCAUAAACCAGAAACUGCAGAAGCAAGGCCACUGUCCUUCCAGCCUCAACAGAGAUAUGGGAAGAUAUUUGAAACGCUUGGAAUUGCUUGCAAGUGUUGUGAUGUGAGUGGAAAAGAGUGCUCUAGUGCUUGGACUGAGCCUUGUUCAAAGCUUCAAUGUCUGCCAUGGAAGUAUAAUAAAGACACCACUGUUCUCGCCAGUUAAACUCUCUACAUAUGUUGGUUUGUUUGUACAUAUCGAAUUAUCGAUAUCUAUAUACUGAAAUUGAGUGGUCUAAAUCUGUUCAAGACACUGGCUUGUUGAUAUAUAUAUCUUAAGCUUUAUAUGGGUGUUUUAGUUCUUGGCUUCUCUGUUCUAUACAGAUGUACUUUAAUUUAGCUAAAACUCCAUCUCUAAGUAUAACAAGAAAUCUAGUUCAAGGUGUA
Molecule: long non-coding RNA, 1044 nt
Organism: Mangifera indica (mango)
Lineage: Eukaryota; Viridiplantae; Streptophyta; Magnoliopsida; Sapindales; Anacardiaceae
Exons: 2
Source: RefSeq, a predicted model, not a curated record